This 1531-nucleotide ribosomal RNA is filed under the name Escherichia coli P0299917.1. RNAcentral describes it as "bacterial SSU rRNA". It matches the Rfam family "Bacterial small subunit ribosomal RNA". The record is from RNAcentral. Lineage: Bacteria; Pseudomonadati; Pseudomonadota; Gammaproteobacteria; Enterobacterales; Enterobacteriaceae.
AGAGUUUGAUCAUGGCUCAGAUUGAACGCUGGCGGCAGGCCUAACACAUGCAAGUCGAACGGUAACAGAAAGCAGCUUGCUGCUUUGCUGACGAGUGGCGGACGGGUGAGUAAUGUCUGGGAAACUGCCUGAUGGAGGGGGAUAACUACUGGAAACGGUAGCUAAUACCGCAUAACGUCGCAAGACCAAAGAGGGGGACCUUCGGGCCUCUUGCCAUCGGAUGUGCCCAGAUGGGAUUAGCUUGUUGGUGGGGUAACGGCUCACCAAGGCGACGAUCCCUAGCUGGUCUGAGAGGAUGACCAGCCACACUGGAACUGAGACACGGUCCAGACUCCUACGGGAGGCAGCAGUGGGGAAUAUUGCACAAUGGGCGCAAGCCUGAUGCAGCCAUGCCGCGUGUAUGAAGAAGGCCUUCGGGUUGUAAAGUACUUUCAGCGGGGAGGAAGGGAGUAAAGUUAAUACCUUUGCUCAUUGACGUUACCCGCAGAAGAAGCACCGGCUAACUCCGUGCCCAGCAGCCGCGGUAAUACGGAGGGUGCAAGCGUUAAUCGGAAUUACUGGGCGUAAAGCGCACGCAGGCGGUUUGUUAAGUCAGAUGUGAAAUCCCCGGGCUCAACCUGGGAACUGCAUCUGAUACUGGCAAGCUUGAGUCUCGUAGAGGGGGGUAGAAUUCCAGGUGUAGCGGUGAAAUGCGUAGAGAUCUGGAGGAAUACCGGUGGCGAAGGCGGCCCCCUGGACGAAGACUGACGCUCAGGUGCGAAAGCGUGGGGAGCAAACAGGAUUAGAUACCCUGGUAGUCCACGCCGUAAACGAUGUCGACUUGGAGGCUGUGCCCUUGAGGCGUGGCUUCCGGAGCUAACGCGUUAAGUCGACCGCCUGGGGAGUACGGCCGCAAGGUUAAAACUCAAAUGAAUUGACGGGGGCCCGCACAAGCGGUGGAGCAUGUGGUUUAAUUCGAUGCAACGCGAAGAACCUUACCUGGUCUUGACAUCCACGGAAGUUUUCAGAGAUGAGAAUGUGCCUUCGGGAACCGUGAGACAGGUGCUGCAUGGCUGUCGUCAGCUCGUGUUGUGAAAUGUUGGGUUAAGUCCCGCAACGAGCGCAACCCUUAUCCUUUGUUGCCAGCGGUCCGGCCGGGAACUCAAAGGAGACUGCCAGUGAUAAACUGGAGGAAGGUGGGGAUGACGUCAAGUCAUCAUGGCCCUUACGACCAGGGCUACACACGUGCUACAAUGGCGCAUACAAAGAGAAGCGACCUCGCGAGAGCAAGCGGACCUCAUAAAGUGCGUCGUAGUCCGGAUUGGAGUCUGCAACUCGACUCCAUGAAGUCGGAAUCGCUAGUAAUCGUGGAUCAGAAUGCCACGGUGAAUACGUUCCCGGGCCUUGUACACACCGCCCGUCACACCAUGGGAGUGGGUUGCAAAAGAAGUAGGUAGCUUAACCUUCGGGAGGGCGCUUACCACUUUGUGAUUCAUGACUGGGGUGAAGUCGUAACAAGGUAACCGUAGGGGAACCUGCGGUUGGAUCACCU